GUGACGGCUGCGUGCGGCGGGAAUCAUGGCUGCUCGCAGAGCUCUGCACUUCGUAUUCAAAGUGGGAAACCGCUUCCAGACGGCGCGUUUCUAUCGGGACGUCCUGGGGAUGAAGGUGGAGUCUUGCUCUGUCGCCAGGCUGGAGUGCAGUGGCGCGAUCUCGGCUCACUGUAAGCUCAGCCUCCCGGGUUCACACCAUUCUCCUGCCUCAGCCUCCCGAGUAGCUGGGACCACAGGUUCUGCGGCAUGAGGAAUUUGAAGAAGGCUGCAAAGCUGCCUGUAAUGGGCCUUAUGAUGGGAAAUGGAGUAAAACAAUGGUGGGAUUUGGGCCUGAGGAUGAUCAUUUUGUCGCAGAACUGACUUACAAUUAUGGCGUCGGAGACUACAAGCUUGG
Molecule: long non-coding RNA, 394 nt
Filed under: Homo sapiens (human)
Lineage: Eukaryota; Metazoa; Chordata; Mammalia; Primates; Hominidae
Description: HSALNT0235758
Source: RNAcentral